Molecule: ribosomal RNA, 440 nt
Filed under: uncultured bacterium
Lineage: Bacteria
Description: partial 16S ribosomal RNA
Rfam family: Bacterial small subunit ribosomal RNA
Source: RNAcentral
CCUACGGGAGGCAGCAGUAGGGAAUAUUGCACAAUGGGGGAAACCCUGAAGCAGCAACGCCGCGUGGAGGAUGAAGGUUUUCGGAUUGUAAACUCCUUUUGUUAGAGAAGAGAAUGACGGUAUCUAACGAAUAAGCACCGGCUAACUCCGUGCCAGCAGCCGCGGUAAUACGGAGGGGGCAAGCGUUAUUCGGAAUAACUGGGCGUAAAGGGGGCGUAGGCGGGAUAGCAAGUCAGAUGUGAAAUCCUAUGGCUUAACCUUAGAACUGCAUUUGAAACUGUUAAUCUAGAGUAUGGGAGAGGUAAGUGGAAUUCUUGGUGUAGGGGUGAAAUCCGUAGAGAUCAGGAGGAAUACUCGUUGCGAAGGCGACCUGCUAGAACAAAACUGACGCUGAUGCGCGAAAGCGUGGGGAGCAAACAGGAUUAGAUACCCGAGUAGUC